This is an unclassified non-coding RNA of Nomascus leucogenys (northern white-cheeked gibbon), 102 nucleotides long. It matches the Rfam family "Y RNA". Rfam says of the family: Y RNAs are components of the Ro ribonucleoprotein particle (Ro RNP), in association with Ro60 and La proteins. The record is from Ensembl. Lineage: Eukaryota; Metazoa; Chordata; Mammalia; Primates; Hylobatidae.
GGCUGGUCUGAGUACAGUGGUGUUUACAACUAAAUGAUCACAACGACUUACAGAUUUCUUUGUUCCUUCUUUACUCCCACUGCUUCACUUGACUAGCUUUAA